RNAcentral lists this ribosomal RNA (253 nucleotides) under uncultured bacterium. RNAcentral's name for it is "partial 16S ribosomal RNA". It matches the Rfam family "Bacterial small subunit ribosomal RNA", at positions 524 to 776 of the family's 1533-position model. The record is from RNAcentral.
UACGAAGGGGGCUAGCGUUGCUCGGAAUCACUGGGCGUAAAGGGUGCGUAGGCGGGUCUUUAAGUCAGGGGUGAAAUCCUGGAGCUCAACUCCAGAACUGCCUUUGAUACUGAGGAUCUUGAGUUCGGGAGAGGUGAGUGGAACUGCGAGUGUAGAGGUGAAAUUCGUAGAUAUUCGCAAGAACACCAGUGGCGAAGGCGUCUCACUGGCCCGAUACUGACGCUGAGGCACGAAAGCGUGGGGAGCAAACAGG